Long non-coding RNA from Oncorhynchus tshawytscha (Chinook salmon), 1611 nucleotides. NCBI's taxonomy places the organism in Eukaryota, Metazoa, Chordata, Actinopteri, Salmoniformes, Salmonidae. The record is from Ensembl.
UAAGGAUCGAGUGGUUGCUGAAUGCAAGGCUAUAGUGGUCAGUUAGAGGUGUCAGAUGAGUCUGUGGCUCUGACAUCCAAUGUCAAGGUGAGUAGCAGGUUUUGGUGCUGGUGCCAGAAACUGGAUCAGACCAGCACUAAGCAGAGUUAGGGUGCAUAAGGAGGAUAACUGACACCAUCUUAAAAUGCUUAUAGAGAUCAGCAUGUAUUGAUUCUCAGUUCUGCUUCGCCAUCGGAAUGUACCGUAUGCAAUGACGUGGAGACAAUACAGGUUGGGAACAGGAACAGGAGAGAGGUGAAAACCUUUUCCAAUUGCAUCCAGGGGUGUCAUGCACUCCAAAAAUCUGAGGCAGCACAAAGUACGUGAGGAUGGCUGAGGGGUCGUCUGGAGGGGAGGUGAUCGUGGACUUCUCCGAGAUCCAGGGCCAGAAGUAUAGUCAAGAAGAUGUGAUGAGCAGAGCAACCAAUCAGCGUCACUGCAGCUGUUCAACCCUCCACCCCCACCACUCUCCCUCCACAAGCAACCACAUCCUCUUCUCCUGUUCAACUAAUUUGCCGCUGCACAGAAAAGGACUGUACAUACCCCUGUGCCCAUCAGUGCAAAAUGAUCCAGCCAAAGCCUCAGCUGGACGCCGAAAAUGUGAAAAAUGUCAGUGUGUGUGUGUGUGUGUCUGUGUGUGUGUGUGUGUGUGUGUGUGUGUGUGUGUGUGUGUGUGUGUGUGUGUGUGUGUGUGUGUGUGUGUGUGUGUGUUCCAAGAAAAGACAUGAGUGUGAUGUGCCCCUCUGUGUCAAUGUUGAAAUGCGAUAAAUGAAGGAUGGCAAAGGAGAUAGUGAUGUGAUAGUGUGUUUGUAUGACUCCUUGGGAUCUAAAAUGAGUGUGGGGUGCCCUCUUGUGUCUCCUUUUUGUUCCUUUGAAGGCAUUACACUCAUCCCUGGUGGAGGUUCUUGGAACACUGUUAUUUAAGUCUGAGCAGAGGUUGAUGAAAACCUUCAAAGUUGGUGGUGCUAUAUUGCGUGUUAUCUUGAACACCAGGCAGAUGUUUGAGUACAGAAUGAAAAUGGUGUAAACUGAACAGGUUGAACUUGUUGAGUACACUCUUAGAAAAAGGGGUUCCAACUGGCUGUCACCAAAGGAGAACCCUUUUUGGUUAUUAGGUAUAACUCUUUUUAGUUACAGUAAGAACUCUUUGGGGUUCCAUGUAGAACCCUCUGUGGAAUGGAACCCAAAAUGAUUCUACCUAGGCACCGAAUGGGUUCUACCUGGAUCCAAAAAGAGUUCUUCAAAGGGUUCUAUAGGGACAGCGGAAGAAACCUUUUAGGUUCUAGAUAGGUCUAUAUUGCAGUGGUGGUUCCGUUGUUUUCUUAAAGAAUAUAUAUAUAUUAAUUGGUGGUGGUGAGUUAAGAUAAUCAGAAAUACUGUGAAACAUCCCCACUUUUAGCACACAUUUGCAAGCAGGCAAAGUCGCCUACUUCUAUGCGUGCUGAGGUAUGUGUGAUCACUCAACAUUGACAGGACUGACAAAAAUGCUCACAUGCAAACAAAAGACAAAGAAAUGACCAAACAAUGAAGUAAUUGGCAAAAGAAAUGUAAAUGUUAUGAAAUAAAGCAAAA